This 253-nucleotide ribosomal RNA is filed under the name uncultured bacterium. RNAcentral describes it as "partial 16S ribosomal RNA". It matches the Rfam family "Bacterial small subunit ribosomal RNA", at positions 524 to 776 of the family's 1533-position model. The record is from RNAcentral.
UACGAAGGGGGCUAGCGUUGCUCGGAAUCACUGGGCGUAAAGCGCACGUAGGCGGCUUUCUAAGUCAGGGGUGAAAUCCUGGAGCUCAACUCCAGAACUGCCUUUGAUACUGGAGAGCUUGAGUCCGGAAGAGGUGAGUGGAACUCCGAGUGUAGAGGUGAAAUUCGUAGAUAUUCGGAAGAACACCAGUGGCGAAGGCGGCUCGCUGGUCCGGUACUGACGCUGAGGAGCGAAAGCAUGGGGAGCGAACAGG